CCGCUUGCAGGUAAACAGAUGGACCCACGAAGUCCUGUUGAAUGAGGGAUUCACAUAGUUCAAGAGGCGUUCUAUGCAAUGAUGUCCUUUAUUGGAUAAGUUGUGUGGAUCUGUCGAUUGGAAGAUGCAUUUCUCUUGUUCACGCUGGAGCUCUGACUGUUCAGAGAGGCUUUAACUGCUUAAGUCAGCUUGCUUUAGUGGUGGGAUCUUCGGAUUCAAUUCACUUUAGCAAGUGAGUAAGUGAAGUCAAGCUGAAUGGGUGAAUUACUUAUGUAUGUAAGUGUUCAGGUCAUCGGUAGAUUUUAUUUGUCAAAAACGUAGAGUAGAGGAACUUCGGCUCUCGCAGUUGAAGCCCUUUGCUUAUGCGGUUUUAAGUACAAGUGGAAGCUAUCAAUGGUGAUCCAGAGUAAGUAGGUCGGUCAUCCAUCUGACCCGUCUUGAAACACGGACCAAGGAGCCCAACAACUGCGCGAGUCGCUCGGUCUUGCAUAGGCCUGAGAGGCGAAAUAAACAUAACGGUAUGAUCCUGUUUUCCUUUCGAGGGAAUGGGCGCAAUACCAACCUGCUCAUCUUGCCUUUUGACAAGUGAGCGGAGUUUGAGCGUAAUUGUUGGUACCCGAAAGAUGGUGAACUAUACUUGGGCAAGACGAAGCCAGAGGAAACUCUGGUGGAGGUCUGUAGCGAUUCUGACGUGCAAAUCGAUCGUCAGACCUGAGUAUAGGGGCGAAAGACUAAUCGAACCAUCUAGUAGCUGGUUCCCUCCGAAGUUUCCCUCAGGAUAGCUGGCAUUAUUACUCUGUAGCACUCGGUAAAGCGAAUGAUUAGAGGUCUUGGGAUCGAAACGAUCUCAACCUAUUCUCAAACUUUAAAUGGGUGCGAGGCUUGACUUUUUUGAUUAAAGUCUGGCUUCGUAAGAGUAGUGCCAAGUGGGCCAUUUUUGGUAAGCAGAACUGGCGCUGUGGGAUGAACCAAACGCUGAGUUAAGGCACCAAAUGCCGACGCUCAUGAGACCCCAUGAAAGGUGUUGGUUGCUACAGACAGCA
Molecule: ribosomal RNA, 1043 nt
Filed under: Teutonia cometes
Lineage: Eukaryota; Metazoa; Arthropoda; Arachnida; Trombidiformes; Teutoniidae
Description: partial large subunit ribosomal RNA
Rfam family: Eukaryotic large subunit ribosomal RNA
Source: RNAcentral